This 246-nucleotide unclassified non-coding RNA is filed under the name uncultured fungus. RNAcentral describes it as "sequence contains ITS2". The record is from RNAcentral. Lineage: Eukaryota; Fungi.
AACGCACAUUGCACCCUUUGGUAUUCCGAAGGGUACACCUGUUCGAGCGUCAUUAAAUUCUUCAAGCUUAUGCUUGGUAUUGGUUAAAGUCCAUUUUGGACUCUCCCAUAACUUAUGAAGACAAACUUUUUUAACUUUAAGCGUAACAAGAAAACUUCAUCGUUUGUUGUUAAAAAGUUUCUUGUCUUUUAAAAAAGACUCUUUAAACUUGACCUCGGAUCAGGUGAGGAUACCCGCUGAACUUAA